UCUGGCUGUUAACAAGAAGCCUGUAGGGGAGGCAGAGAGACCAGCUGGAGGCUAUCAGCCCUGCCGGCAGAGAUCAGGAUGCUGUGACCAGGGCAGGAAGCAGUGGUUCUCUUCAAAGCGGUUGCACUGGGAAUGAGCCGUCUCAGCUCUGCUGCAGAACGAGAGGACUCAGCUGCCACCGAAGCAGGCAUCCGUGGAAGGUGUUGCUAUCCUGACAGAG
Long non-coding RNA from Lepus europaeus (European hare), 220 nucleotides. RefSeq lists it as uncharacterized. The record is from RefSeq and is a predicted model, not a curated record. The transcript has 3 exons. NCBI's taxonomy places the organism in Eukaryota, Metazoa, Chordata, Mammalia, Lagomorpha, Leporidae.